This 562-nucleotide ribosomal RNA is filed under the name uncultured Flavobacteriia bacterium. RNAcentral's name for it is "bacterial SSU rRNA". It matches the Rfam family "Bacterial small subunit ribosomal RNA", at positions 8 to 570 of the family's 1533-position model. Lineage: Bacteria; Pseudomonadati; Bacteroidota; Flavobacteriia. The record is from RNAcentral.
AGGGUUUGAUCAUGGCUCAGGAUGAACGCUAGCGGCAGGCUUAACACAUGCAAGUCGAGGGGUAUAGUUCUUCGGAGCUAGAGACCGGCGCACGGGUGCGUAACGCGUAUGCAAUCUACCUUUUACAGAGGGAUAGCCCAGAGAAAUUCGGAUUAAUCCCCCAUAGUACUGUUUGAUCGCAUGGUCAGAUAGUUAAAGCAUUGCGGUAUAAGAUGGGCAUGCGUCCUAUUAGCUAGAUGGUGAGGUAACGGCUCACCAUGGCUACGAUAGGUAGGGGGCCUGAGAGGGUGGUCCCCCACACUGGUACUGAGACACGGACCAGACUCCUACGGGAGGCAGCAGUGAGGAAUAUUGGUCAAUGGGCGCAAGCCUGAACCAGCCAUGCCGCGUGCAGGAAGAAUGCCCCUAUGGGUUGUAAACUGCUUUUUAUUUGGGAAUAAACCUCUUUACGUGUAGAGAGCUGAAGGUACCAAAUGAAUAAGCACCGGCUAACUCCGUGCCAGCCGCCGCGGUAAUACGGAGGGUGCAAGCGUUAUCCGGAAUCCUUGGGUUUAAAGGGUCC